Non-coding RNA from Callorhinus ursinus (northern fur seal), 726 nucleotides. Lineage: Eukaryota; Metazoa; Chordata; Mammalia; Carnivora; Otariidae. The record is from RefSeq and is a predicted model, not a curated record.
GGCAUCAAUCUGACAUUGUUUUGUCUUUCAGGUUGCUCUAGCAGAGUCAGGUGCUGAGGUACCAACCAUUUCUCUUAGGUUACUACUGGGAAAAUUAUAGUGUUAAGAGACUUACUUCUAUUUUUGAGAAAUGACUUUAUCCCACAAACCUGGAGAAUCUCUGUGAACGUGUUGGGCAGUAAGUACGGGAUGAGAGUUUGUUGGCAUUUUUCUAAAAUAGUUUAUGUGAUCAAAUGCCACAUGAAAGAAGCAGUUUUGCUUCAUUCGGAAGCUUUUCAUUGGAAUAUUUCUAUUAUAAACAGAAUUCUACAACUUAAAACAUAAGCAACACUGGGAUCCUGGUCAGAAGAAGAAACUUAAACUUGGAGACACACAAGAACACUGUGUGAUGGCAGAGGGAGAGAUUGCAGAGAUGUGUUAAUAGGCAAGGAACACCUAGAAUUGCCAGAAAUCACCAGAAGCUAGGAAGAGGGAAGAAGGAUCCUCUCCUACAGCCUUCAGAGAGAGAGAGCAUGGCCCUGACAAUGCCUGAAUUCAGACUUCCAAGCCUCCAGGACUGUGAGACUGUAUAUUUAUGUUAUUUAAAGCUACCCAGUCGCUUGUUAUGGUAGCCUUAGUAAACAAAUGUACUUUGGAGACUACAUACUGAAGACAGCAGAUCCACAAGCUAUAAAAGAAAUAAAUAUUUUAGAUUUUAUGUACAUUAGAAAUAAAAUGUAUUGUUAA